RNAcentral lists this ribosomal RNA (470 nucleotides) under Priestia flexa. RNAcentral describes it as "bacterial SSU rRNA". It matches the Rfam family "Bacterial small subunit ribosomal RNA", at positions 558 to 1026 of the family's 1533-position model. The record is from RNAcentral. Lineage: Bacteria; Bacillati; Bacillota; Bacilli; Caryophanales; Bacillaceae.
GCGUAAGCGCGCGCAGGCGGUCUUUUAAGUCUGAUGUGAAAUCCCACGGCUCAACCUGGGAGGGGCAUUGGAAACUGGGGGGCUUGAGUCGUUGAAGAGGGGAGUGGAAUUCCACGUGUAGCGGUGAAAUGCGUAGAGAUGUGGAGGAACACCAGUGGCGAAGGCGACUCUUUGGUCUGUAACUGACGCUGAGGCGCGAAAGCGUGGGGAGCAAACAGGAUUAGAUACCCUGGUAGUCCACGCCGUAAACGAUGACUGCUUGGUGGUAGAGGGUUUCCGCCCUUUAUUGCUGCACCAAACGCAUUAAUCACUCCGCCGGGGGAGUACGGCCGCAAGGCUGAAACUCAAAGGAAUUGACGGGGGCCCGCACAAGCGGGGGAGCAUGUGGUUUAAUUCGAAGCAACGCGAAAAACCUUACCAGGUCUUGACAUCUCCUGACAAUCCUAAAGAUAGGACGUUCCCCUUCGGGG